This 172-nucleotide transfer RNA is filed under the name Chamaecyparis obtusa var. formosana (Taiwan yellow cedar). RNAcentral's name for it is "tRNA-Asn". The stretch from base 101 to 172 matches the Rfam family "tRNA". The record is from RNAcentral. Lineage: Eukaryota; Viridiplantae; Streptophyta; Pinopsida; Cupressales; Cupressaceae.
ACGUUCACUAGAGAGAGACAAUACCAAUAGCUCAAUUUGUAGUGAAGCUUUGGAACUUUCCUAUAAGGAUAUAAUAUAUGAGACUUCAUACCUUCGUUAUUCCUCAGUAGCUCAGUGGUAGAGCGGUCGGCUGUUAACCGAUUGGUCGUAGGUUCGAAUCCUAUUUGAGGAG